UUAACUGAAACCAGCAGCUGCUUAGAUAAGAGAACAGAUAAGAUACUUUUUUUAAUCCCACACUGGGGAAAUUCCCUUAGACAGCAGCGCAAAGAAAUUCACACACAUCAGAAUAAGACAAACACACAUUAAAUAGACAGGAAAAAUAUACAAAAAGUAUUAUAAGAAAUAGAAAAAUAGAAUAAAAGUAAUAAUAUUGAUAGUAAUAAUAUGUACACUAUAAACACCCUUAUUAUAAAUAGACAAAAAAAAACAGGUAAAAAAUAUAUAUACAGAUAAGUAGGGUGCGGAUGAAUAGAAAUGGCAUAUAAUAAUAAAUAAAUAAAUAUGCAUAGUGCAGAAAGGUAUUCAAUAGAAAAUGUUGAAGAAAUGUAAAAUACACAGUCUGUUGAGGAGCUAAUGGGCAAAGAGUUCAUUUAAAGUAACUGUGAUGAUGGCUGGUUGGUUAUCCGCCAAUGAAAUCUAUACCAAACUUUAAUCUGGCGUGAUCAACAAACUUUUAAACUUGUAAAAACCAGUGUCUGCUGAUUCAACAAAAUCCUAAUGGGUAAGCUGGAAUAUGCAGUGUAUAUUAUUUGAGAUAACAUUUACUGUGCUUAAAAACAUCCGAUCCUCUGAAGAUGUGACUGAGACUUUCUAACUUGAACCCUUGAUGUGAAAAAGUUCAAAACACAACCAAACUGUAGCUCCACUGUGGCUCUGACGGUUCAGUUUUUGAAUGUAUUUCAUAGAUGUAGCUCCUUCAUGAUGCCCUUUUCAAAACACAGAGAGGGAAACGAAUGCAACCGUGACUAAUAGCGUUCCACAGCGCCAUGUCAAUAGUGUCUGAAUCAAAUGUCAACAAAUGUUUUUGUAUUUUUGGCUCGGCUGGUGGGACAUCAGCUGUGUAGACACGUUUGUCUCAGCUUGUUUGUCUACAUACUGUCAAAUUUCUAACUUUGUAAUGCAAAUCAGCAUCAAAAUAAAGGAGAACACUGCUUGUAAAAUAAAUGCAUGCUGUGAAUAGCACAUGAGUGAUGUUCCCUCACUGGUUGGUCACUGCCAGUUCGUUUUACUGAAUCAAAUCUGUUACAAGAUAACAUACUGUAUGUACCAUCUUCUCCAUGUGGUGUUCAAUGUUAGAGUUUGUAAAUACUUGUGCUGAAAACUACAGCGGAUCAAUGUAGGAAAGCUUGUGUUUCUGUGGACUCAUUUUUCACUCUCAACACAAGAAAUGUAUUAUUAAAUCACUUUGCAGAGAUAAGUAAAGAAGUAUUGCUGUUUUCCCACUGAA
Long non-coding RNA from Sander lucioperca (pikeperch), 1273 nucleotides. RefSeq lists it as uncharacterized. The record is from RefSeq and is a predicted model, not a curated record. NCBI's taxonomy places the organism in Eukaryota, Metazoa, Chordata, Actinopteri, Perciformes, Percidae. The transcript is spliced from 2 exons.